This 445-nucleotide ribosomal RNA is filed under the name uncultured bacterium. RNAcentral describes it as "partial 16S ribosomal RNA". It matches the Rfam family "Bacterial small subunit ribosomal RNA", at positions 354 to 796 of the family's 1533-position model. The record is from RNAcentral.
GUAAGGAAUAUUGGACAAUGGACGCAAGUCUGAUCCAGCCAUGCCGCGUGAAGGAUUAAGGUCCUCUGGAUUGUAAACUUCUUUUAUAAGGGACGAAAAAAGGCUUUUCUAAGUCGUCUGACGGUACCUUAUGAAUAAGCACCGGCUAACUCCGUGCCAGCAGCCGCGGUAAUACGGAGGGUGCAAGCGUUAUCCGGAUUCACUGGGUUUAAAGGGUGCGUAGGCGGGCAGGUAAGUCAGUGGUGAAAUCCUAGAGCUUAACUCUAGAACUGCCAUUGAUACUAUCUGUCUUGAAUAUUGUGGAGGUAAGCGGAAUAUGUCAUGUAGCGGUGAAAUGCUUAGAUAUGACAUAGAACACCAAUUGCGAAGGCAGCUAGCUGGGCCUUGAUUGACGCUGAGGCACGAAAGCGUGGGUAGCGAACAGGAUUAGAUACCCCGGUAGUCC